UAUCUCUGUAGAGUCUGCAUAUCAAUAAGCGGAGGAAAAGAAACUAACUAGGAUUCCCUCAGUAACGGCGAGUGAAGCGGGAAGAGCUCAAAUUUGAAAUCUUCAAGGUCCUACCUUGACGAAUUGUAGUUUAAAGAAGUGUUUUCUGUUAGAGUUUGAGUAGCAAAGUUCCUUGGAAUAGGGACAUCAUAGAGGGUGAGAAUCCCGUAUUUGACCUAUUAUUUCCAGCUUUGUGAUACACUUUCAAAGAGUCGGAUUGUUUGGGAAUGCAGUCCAAAAUGGGUGGUAAAUUUCAUCUAAAGCUAAAUACUGGCGAGAGACCGAUAGCGAACAAGUACCGUGAGGGAAAGAUGAGAAGAACUUUGAAAAGAGAGUUAAACAGUACGUGAAAUUGUCAAAAGGGAAGCGUUUGACACCAGUGUUGUUUUUCCGAAAAUCAAUUACGAAUGGCUUGAUUCUGUGUUGUAUUGACCUUAUCAGCUUUCUUCACUUUUUUCGAGUCUUUCUUAAUGCACUUUUCGGUUAACAAGUCAACAUCAAUUUCUUUUGUUGUAAAAGAGUAUUCGGAAGGUGGCUUUCUUUUCGGAGAAAGUGUUUAUAGCCCUAUACUUCUACAAUCGGAGAGAUUGAGGUCUGCAGCGUAGAUCCUUCGGGGUUAGAUAUAUUUGUGCUAAGUUGUAGCUUUUCAUAGACAACUUGUUGACUAUGUUUAGUCAUGCGGCUUACUCGCUUAUGCUAUUUUACCUACGCUUAGGAUGUUGAAGAUGUAGCACAUCAU
Molecule: ribosomal RNA, 778 nt
Filed under: uncultured Neocallimastigales
Lineage: Eukaryota; Fungi; Neocallimastigomycota; Neocallimastigomycetes; Neocallimastigales
Description: partial large subunit ribosomal RNA
Rfam family: Eukaryotic large subunit ribosomal RNA
Source: RNAcentral